Molecule: ribosomal RNA, 253 nt
Filed under: uncultured bacterium
Lineage: Bacteria
Description: partial 16S ribosomal RNA
Rfam family: Bacterial small subunit ribosomal RNA
Source: RNAcentral
UACGGGGGGGGCAAGCGUUGUUCGGAAUUACUGGGCGUAAAGGGCGCGUAGGCGGCCUGCUAAGUCACACGUGAAAUCCCUCGGCUCAACCGGGGAACUGCGUGUGAUACUGGCGGGCUUGAAUUCGGGAGAGGGAUGUGGAAUUCCAGGUGUAGCGGUGAAAUGCGUAGAUAUCAGGAGGAAUACCGAUGGCGAAGGCAGGUCUCUGGGCUGACACUGACGCUCAUGCACGAAAGCGUGGGGAGCAAACAGG